This 597-nucleotide ribosomal RNA is filed under the name Triticum aestivum (bread wheat). RNAcentral describes it as "partial small subunit ribosomal RNA". The record is from RNAcentral. Lineage: Eukaryota; Viridiplantae; Streptophyta; Magnoliopsida; Poales; Poaceae.
AUGAAAAUAUUGAGCUGGAACUGCUGGGGGUUAGGGAAACCCCCGGCAGUUAGAGCGCUCCUGGAGCUCCAGAGGCGCGUAAGACCGGAUGUGAUUUUUCUGUCUGAGUCACAUCUGACUGUUGCUAGGGCAGAGAAAAUGAAGAGAAAGUUGUCCUUUUAUGAGAUGAUAAUGUGGGAAUGUGAUGGCAGAAGUGGUGGUUUGGUACUCUUCUGGCAGAAGGGUUUAAAUGUGACAUCAAAGGAGGUUCACUCAAAUUUCUUGGAUAUCCUAAUUGACGAAAAUAGUGGCUCGGGUUGGCGGAUCACAGGUCUAUAUGGAGAACCAAGCGGUGACAAAAAGCAUUUGACUUGGGAGUAUCUUCGCUCCCUGAAAAAUAUGGUCGAUCUUCCUUGGAUCGUCCUUGGUGAUUUUAAUGAAAUCCUCUUGGGACGUGAGAAGGAAGGCGGGGCACUGAGGUCCCAAAGAAAUAUGCAGAAUUUUCGUGAUGCACUGGAUGAUUGUAACUUGUUUGAUAUGGGUCACAUCGGGGACAUCUUCACAUGGCGAAGGGGAAGGAUCCGGGAGAGGCUUGACCGGGCUGUAUGUGACCAAUGA